RNAcentral lists this ribosomal RNA (504 nucleotides) under uncultured bacterium. RNAcentral describes it as "partial 16S ribosomal RNA". It matches the Rfam family "Bacterial small subunit ribosomal RNA", at positions 28 to 506 of the family's 1533-position model. The record is from RNAcentral.
GACGAACGCUGGCGGCGUGCCUAAUACAUGCAAGUAGAACGCACAGUUUAUACCGUAGCUUGCUACACCAUAGACUGUGAGUUGCGAACGGGUGAGUAACGCGUAGGUAACCUGCCUGGUAGCGGGGGAUAACUAUUGGAAACGAUAGCUAAUACCGCAUAAUAUUGAUUAUUGCAUGAUAAUUGAUUGAAAGAUGCUAUUGCAUCACUACCAGAUGGACCUGCGUUGUAUUAGCUAGUAGGUGAGGUAACGGCUCACCUAGGCGACGAUACAUAGCCGACCUGAGAGGGUGAUCGGCCACACUGGGACUGAGACACGGCCCAGACUCCUACGGGAGGCAGCAGUAGGGAAUCCUCGGCAAUGGACGAAAGUCUGACCGAGCAACGCCGCGUGAGUGAAGAAGGUUUUCGGAUCGUAAAGCUCUGUUGUAAGAGAAGAACGGGUGUGAGAGUGGAAAGUUCACACUGUGACGGUAUCUUACCAGAAAGGGACGGCUAACUACGU